This 1074-nucleotide ribosomal RNA is filed under the name Poaceascoma halophilum. Its description in RNAcentral is "SSU rRNA". It matches the Rfam family "Eukaryotic small subunit ribosomal RNA", at positions 58 to 1152 of the family's 1831-position model. Lineage: Eukaryota; Fungi; Ascomycota; Dothideomycetes; Pleosporales; Lentitheciaceae. The record is from RNAcentral.
UCUAAGUAUAAGCAWUUAUACCGUGAAACUGCGAAUGGCUCAUUAAAUCAGUUAUCGUUUAUUUGAUAGUACCUUACUACUUGGAUAACCGUGGUAAUUCUAGAGCUAAUACAUGCUAAAAACCCCGACUUCGGAAGGGGUGUAUUUAUUAGAUAAAAAACCAAUAGCCCUUCGGGGCUCCUUGGUGAUUCAUGAUAACUUCUCAGAUCGCAUGGCCUUGCGCCGGCGACGGUUCAUUCAAAUUUCUGCCCUAUCAACUUUCGAUGGUAAGGUAUUGGCUUACCAUGGUUUCAACGGGUAACGGGGAAUUAGGGUUCGAUUCCGGAGAGGGAGCCUGAGAAACGGCUACCACAUCCAAGGAAGGCAGCAGGCGCGCAAAUUACCCAAUCCCAACACGGGGAGGUAGUGACAAUAAAUACUGAUACAGGGCUCUUUUGGGUCUUGUAAUUGGAAUGAGUACAAUUUAAACCUCUUAACGAGGAACAAUUGGAGGGCAAGUCUGGUGCCAGCAGCCGCGGUAAUUCCAGCUCCAAUAGCGUAUAUUAAAGUUGUUGCAGUUAAAAAGCUCGUAGUUGAACCUUUGGCCUGGCUGGCAGGUCCGCCUCACCGCGUGCACUUGUCCGGCCGGGCCUUCUCUUCUGGAGAACCGCAUGCCCUUCACUGGGUGUGUUGGGGACCAGGACUUUUACUUUGAAAAAAUUAGAGUGUUCAAAGCAGGCCUUUGCUCGAAUACGUUAGCAUGGAAUAAUAGAAUAGGACGUGCGGUCCUAUUUUGUUGGUUUCUAGGACCGCCGUAAUGAUUAAUAGGGACAGUCGGGGGCAUCAGUAUUCAAUUGUCAGAGGUGAAAUUCUUGGAUUUAUUGAAGACUAACUACUGCGAAAGCAUUUGCCAAGGAUGUUUUCAUUAAUCAGUGAACGAAAGUUAGGGGAUCGAAGACGAUCAGAUACCGUCGUAGUCUUAACCUAUAAACUAUGCCGACUAGGGAUCGGGCGGUGUUACUAUUUUGACUCGCUCGGCACCUUACGAGAAAUCAAAGUGUUUGGGUUCUGGGGGGAGUAUGGUCGCAAGCUGAA